This 253-nucleotide ribosomal RNA is filed under the name uncultured bacterium. Its description in RNAcentral is "partial 16S ribosomal RNA". It matches the Rfam family "Bacterial small subunit ribosomal RNA", at positions 524 to 776 of the family's 1533-position model. The record is from RNAcentral.
UACGUAGGGACCGAGCGUUGUCCGGAUUCAUUGGGCGUAAAGAGCUCGUAGGCGGCUAUUCAAGUCGAACGUGAAAACUCGGAGCUCAACUCCGAGCCUGCGUUCGAUACUGGAUGGCUAGAGUCUGGUAGGGGGAUCUGGAAUUCCUGGUGUAGCGGUGGAAUGCGCAGAUAUCAGGAGGAACACCGGUGGCGAAGGCGGCUUGCUGGGCCAGUUCUGACGCUGAGGAGCGAAAGCGUGGGGAGCGAACAGG